RNAcentral lists this transfer RNA (92 nucleotides) under Desulfobulbaceae bacterium. RNAcentral describes it as "tRNA-Ser". It matches the Rfam family "tRNA". From Rfam's summary of the family: Transfer RNA (tRNA) molecules are approximately 80 nucleotides in length. Their secondary structure includes four short double-helical elements and three loops (D, anti-codon, and T loops). Further hydrogen bonds mediate the characteristic L-shaped molecular structure. tRNAs have two regions of fundamental functional importance: the anti-codon, which is responsible for specific mRNA codon recognition, and the 3' end, to which the tRNAs corresponding amino acid is attached (by aminoacyl-tRNA synthetases). tRNAs cope with the degeneracy of the genetic code in two manners: having more than one tRNA (with a specific anti-codon) for a particular amino acid; and 'wobble' base-pairing, i.e. permitting non-standard base-pairing at the 3rd anti-codon position. Lineage: Bacteria; Pseudomonadati; Thermodesulfobacteriota; Desulfobulbia; Desulfobulbales; Desulfobulbaceae. The record is from RNAcentral. RNAcentral also lists the same sequence under 1 other name.
GGAGAGGUGACCGAGAGGCUGAAGGUGCUCGCCUGCUAAGUGAGUGUAUGCUAAAAGGUGUACCGUGGGUUCGAAUCCCACCCUCUCCGCCA